UACGGAGGGUGCAAGCGUUGUUCGGAUUUACUGGGCGUAAAGCGCGCGCAGGCGGACUGGUAAGUCAGAUGUGAAAUCCCGGGGCUCAACCUCGGAACUGCGUCUGAAACUGCUAGUCUAGAGUCUCAAAGGGGGUGGGAGAAUUUCACGUGUAGGGGUAAAAUCCGUAGAGAUGUGAAGGAACACCAGUGGCGAAGGCGCCCACCUGGAUGAGUACUGACGCUGAGGCGCGAAAGCGUGGGGAGCAAACAGG
RNAcentral lists this ribosomal RNA (253 nucleotides) under bacterium. RNAcentral's name for it is "partial 16S ribosomal RNA". It matches the Rfam family "Bacterial small subunit ribosomal RNA", at positions 524 to 776 of the family's 1533-position model. The record is from RNAcentral. RNAcentral also lists the same sequence under 1 other name.